Nothobranchius furzeri (turquoise killifish) is the source of this 1608-nucleotide long non-coding RNA. RefSeq lists it as uncharacterized. The record is from RefSeq and is a predicted model, not a curated record. NCBI's taxonomy places the organism in Eukaryota, Metazoa, Chordata, Actinopteri, Cyprinodontiformes, Nothobranchiidae.
CGUCCCGAAUCGUCAUAUAUUGACGCUUGGUCACACACAUCAUAUUUUGACGCCUUGGGUGUGAGAAUGUGGCUGAUCACCAGUCGCCGUUUUCUAGGUCCAAACCUCUUUUGUUGUCCAUGGCUUCAAAUGAUGUAUUUCUUUUUGGGACUCUGGUAGUUUGUCCUAAAGUUGAAGUGGUAGCAGCCGGCUGUUUCACCUUCUCUGAUAUUAUUGAGUGGAGAACCUCUCACACCAUGGUGUUCUGUUGCUACAGAAGCGAGUGCAUAAAACAGCUCUCAAUCCUGCUCUUGGUGGGCUGGUAUCCAGCACAUUUUAGUGGUUUCUCUGCUCCAACACACUUGAUUUAGUAGUAGAAUCACCUGUGCAGCAGCUCAUCCAGCUCUGCAGGAGCGUUAAUCAGCUGCUGAUUGAAAUCAAGAGUGUUGAAACAGUGUUUGAACUAAAACAUGCUGGAUACCGGCCCAUGGGACCAACAACUGGAUGCUCCUAUCGUUGCUUUUGGUGUUAUUGGUGGAGGAUUUCAGACAAACGCAAGAAACCCACUUUAUUAUUUUUCCCCGUUUUUCUAAAUCUGCAGAAUAAAUGUGUAGCUUCACUGUGUUAGAAAAUUGUUAAAAGACAUCAGAAAAUAAUUAAGCUCAGCUGUUUUCCAAAUUUGCUGUUGCAGCUUGAAUUUUCACUUCUGCUCCACCAAUAAAACCCCCUGAUGGAAAAACCCUGGAGGACCGGAUGCAGAGGUUCGAUGUUCGUUCCGCGUCAGCUGCAGUCCGGAGCUGCGCCUGCUGGGAAGACGGUCAAGGUUCUGCUGCGGAUUCUGGCUAUUUGGAUUUGAAAACUUAAAUCGUUACGGAGGAAAACUUAAGGAAAAGAUAAUCUCACAGAGCCGUCUGGUGUAGGAUUUUCAAAACACCGAUCCCCGACCGUCUCCAUGGGAAUUAUGUUGGUGGUAGCAGUAGUCCUGAAGCUAUACGCCAUUGGAACGGCACUUUCUUUGCUGGCCAUCCUGUACGGAGUAGCGGACUCCUUCGGAGGGCUCAUGUACUCUCCAAACAACCUUUAUAUAGAUGAACGGAACCAUCCGAUACAGGAGCAGCUCGCCUCCAGCAGCCACCAACGAGGAUACUCCAAAAACAUCGGCUCCUGAUGGAUUUUCAAUGCUGAACUUUACUUUACAGCUAAACUCAGAGAAAAAUCACUGCACUACUAAAUGAUGGCUUGCACUAAAGCUUUGAAAUGUUUGUUUGAAAAACCUUUUUUUUAUUGGAGCUCCUGUUUGGAACAGGAAAAGCAUCAGCAGUGGAUUUGACAUCACUGACGGGUCCAAACGUUGUCAGGACCUGUUCCGACUUUCUCGGCCCCUCAGGAGAGAAGCGUCGUGCCAAGACUGUGAAUCACAAUUCAUUAGUGUUCUUAAACAAACUGUCAUCAUGACGUGUAACAGCAGCUAGAUCCAGUAUGUCUUUGUAAACGUGUGUGUAGUUUGUUCUGCUGAUUGGAUUUUUUAAAAUAACGAUUGAGAUAAAAAGCAGAAUAAGGUAGAAAAUGAGAAUUUUAUUUCUGAAUUAGGAUGGAUGCUGACAAUAAAUGAGCAGAAUGAUGAAACCA